Molecule: long non-coding RNA, 709 nt
Filed under: Rattus norvegicus (Norway rat)
Lineage: Eukaryota; Metazoa; Chordata; Mammalia; Rodentia; Muridae
Description: long non-coding RNA NONRATT021847
Source: RNAcentral
UAGGCUGCUGGGAACCAGCCCCCUCACACUUUCCACUGCGAAGCGAAACCCCGGGCCUUGGGCUGGGGGGCGGGCAGUGGGGAGGAGAAGCAGAAGGUCUGGGCCUGGAGGAGCAACUCAGAUUCUAGCUAGCUGUAGUGAGUGGGCUUGCCUGCCCUCUACUCAGGGCCCUAGCCCUGUCCUCUGGUCAUUGACUGUCCUGCUGUCCCCAGACCCCACUCCUGAAGGUCCUCUUUAUCCUACAUUCUUUGCCUCACCUCCCUCCUUGUGGAAUUUCUCUCUCUCUCUCUCUUUUUUUUUUCUCCCAGGACCUUUUUCUGAACUCCCUUGCAGGGCCUGUGAAGCCCGGGGGCCACAGAGGAGAUGAGGCAGGAUCUGUUCCUUGACCUUUUGCUUCUGCAGCUGCUUUGGGAAGCUCCAGCCUCGAAUUUCCCCACCUGGAUCCCAACUUUCUGCGAAGAGGAUGGGUCACCUGGCAACAUCGACCAGACAGUGACCAACCCGCUUCCAUCCCGGCCCUUGACCUUCUCCAGGGAAUGCCCUCGACUAGGAGACACCCACCCCAUCGCUACACGGUGCUGAGUGUGGCUCCAGGAGGCCUGCGCAGCGGGAGGCAGCCCCUGCUAUCCCACGUGCAGCUGGAGAAGCGUGGCCCCCAGCGCGGGGACUUCUCUCUGUGGUUGCGCCCAGCUACGCGCAAAGAUGCGGG